AUUGAACGCUGGCGGAAUGCUUUACACAUGCAAGUCGAACGGCAGCACGGACUUCGGUCUGGUGGCGAGUGGCGAACGGGUGAGUAAUGUAUCGGAACGUGCCCAGUCGUGGGGGAUAACGUAGUGAAAAUUACGCUAAUACCGCAUACGAUCUAUGGAUGAAAGCGGGGGAUCGCAAGACCUCGCGCGAUUGGAGCGGCCGAUAUCAGAUUAGGUAGUUGGUGGGGUAAAGGCCCACCAAGCCAACGAUCUGUAGUUGGUCUGAGAGGACGACCAGCCACAAUGGAACUGGGACACGGGCCAGACUCCUACGGGAGGCAGCAGUGGGGAAUUUUGGACAAUGGGCGAAAGCCUGAUCCAGCCAUUCCGCGUGCAGGAUGAAGGCCCUCGGGUUGUAAACUGCUUUUGUACAGAACGAAAAGGUUUCUACUAAUACUAGGAGCUCAUGACGGUACUGUAAGAAUAAGCACCGGCUAACUACGUGCCAGCCGCCGCGGUAA
Molecule: ribosomal RNA, 500 nt
Filed under: uncultured bacterium
Lineage: Bacteria
Description: partial 16S ribosomal RNA
Rfam family: Bacterial small subunit ribosomal RNA
Source: RNAcentral